RNAcentral lists this ribosomal RNA (537 nucleotides) under uncultured bacterium. RNAcentral describes it as "bacterial SSU rRNA". It matches the Rfam family "Bacterial small subunit ribosomal RNA", at positions 94 to 698 of the family's 1533-position model. The record is from RNAcentral.
AGUGGCGGACGGGUGAGGAAUACAUCGGAAUCUACUCUGUCGUGGGGGAUAACGUAGGGAAACUUACGCUAAUACCGCAUACGAUUGAAUGAGCCGAUGUCGGAUUAGCUAGUUGGCGGGGUAAAGGCCCACCAAGGCGACGAUCCGUAGCUGGUCUGAGAGGAUGAUCAGCCACACUGGAACUGAGACACGGUCCAGACUCCUACGGGAGGCAGCAGUGGGGAAUAUUGGACAAUGGGCGCAAGCCUGAUCCAGCCAUACCGCGUGGGUGAAAAAGGCCUUCGGGUUGUAAAGCCCUUUUGUUGGGAAAGCGGUACCCAAAGAAUAAGCACCGGCUAACUUCGUGCCAGCAGCCGCGGUAAUACGAAGGGUGCAAGCGUUACUCGGAAUUACUGGGCGUAAAGCGUGCGUAGGUGGUCGUUUAAGUCCGUUGUGAAAGCCCUGGGCUCAACCUGGGAACUGCAGUGGAUACUGGGCGACUAGAAUGUGGUAGAGGGUAGCGGAAUUCCUGGUGUAGCAGUGAAAUGCGUAGAGAUC